GGGGGGUGGCCAGAUCCUGGGCUGUUUCCCCAGUGCGCUGUGCUCCUGGGCCUGUACUAUUGGAUUCGUGCUCCCAGCCACGUAGCCCCCU
RNAcentral lists this microRNA precursor (91 nucleotides) under Canis lupus familiaris (dog). RNAcentral's name for it is "mir-8799 microRNA precursor family". It matches the Rfam family "mir-8799 microRNA precursor family". The record is from Rfam by way of RNAcentral. RNAcentral also lists the same sequence under 1 other name. Lineage: Eukaryota; Metazoa; Chordata; Mammalia; Carnivora; Canidae.